UCUGAUCCAGCCAUGCCGCGUGCAGGAAGACUAGCCCUAUGGGUUGUAAACUGCUUUUAUCCGGGAAUAAACCUCAUUACGUGUAAUGAGCUGAAUGUACCGGAAGAAUAAGGAUCGGCUAACUCCGUGCCAGCAGCCGCGGUAAUACGGAGGAUCCAAGCGUUAUCCGGAUUUAUUGGGUUUAAAGGGUGCGUAGGCGGCCUGUUAAGUCAGGGGUGAAAGACGGUAGCUCAACUAUCGCAGUGCCCUUGAUACUGAUGGGCUUGAAUGGACUAGAGGUAGGCGGAAUGAGACAAGUAGCGGUGAAAUGCAUAGAUAUGUCUCAGAACACCGAUUGCGAAGGCAGCUUACUAUGGUCUUAUUGACGCUGAGGCACGAAAGCGUUGGGAUCAAACAGGAUUAGAUACCCUGGUAGUCCACGCCCUAAACGAUGAACACUCGCUGUUGGCGAUACACAGUCAGCGGCUAAGCGAAAGCGUUAAGUGUUCCACCUGGGGAGUACGCCCGCAAGGGUGAAACUCAAAGGAAUUGACGGGGGCCCGCACAAGCGGAGGAGCAUGUGGUUUAAUUCGAUGAUACGCGAGGAACCUUACCCGGGCUUGAAAGUUAGUGAAUGAUCCAGAGAUGGAUCA
Molecule: ribosomal RNA, 632 nt
Filed under: Pedobacter sp. Ri3Pt_4434
Lineage: Bacteria; Pseudomonadati; Bacteroidota; Sphingobacteriia; Sphingobacteriales; Sphingobacteriaceae
Description: bacterial SSU rRNA
Rfam family: Bacterial small subunit ribosomal RNA
Source: RNAcentral